CUGUAGUCAGCAAGCUGUUCUCCCUCCCCAAGCUGAAAACAUUCACCUUUCCAAUGCUGUUAAAGAUCAUUCAGUUCAUCUGUCCAGAAAGCACUUGGCAAGCUUUGUGCCCACUGCAGCAGGACCAUAAGGGAAGUAUUUCCAUGAAGUUCUGGGAAAAAUGAGCCCACAUGCCUAGCCUUACCACAAGCUUACAACUUAUAGAUCACAUUCCAGGUACUGAUAUACAAACUCCAUCUACAAAGAGAUAACUAAAGCCAGCUGAGGUCCUCAGGUGGAAGGAAGUUAUCAAUGAGAAAGGUUUUAUGCGUAUAAGUGAGAGAAAAAAAAUCACAUUGGAAUCUGAGCACUUACAUCACAG
Long non-coding RNA from Phasianus colchicus (ring-necked pheasant), 361 nucleotides. RefSeq lists it as uncharacterized. The record is from RefSeq and is a predicted model, not a curated record. Lineage: Eukaryota; Metazoa; Chordata; Aves; Galliformes; Phasianidae.